AAUAAACAGUAAAAAGAUACAAACAUGCUUUCACUUUGACAGAAAUCGAAAUGCCACAUGUGGUAUUUUAAAAGAGCCAAAACCCAACUCAUGUAUCUAAUUCUUUCCUACAAUCUUAUUAUUAAACACCUACAUGAUCAAAAAUACAACUAUAUAUUGAUUACCCCAUUGUCAUAUAUAAAUAUAUAAAAAGACCCUGUAAAUGGAAUUUAAUUUUUGUUGAAGCAACAAAAGAAAUUGGAAAGCUUUUUUUUUCCCUCCCAAAUCUUGGAGCUGAUCAAAAAGAAAUGUUCAUCAUGUCCAUG
This 305-nucleotide unclassified non-coding RNA is filed under the name Hevea brasiliensis (rubber tree). Lineage: Eukaryota; Viridiplantae; Streptophyta; Magnoliopsida; Malpighiales; Euphorbiaceae. The record is from RNAcentral.